ACCACAGCGCAUGCGCCGGGCCGUUGUGGGGCCCCGGGCCGGGGCCCCUUGGGUCCGCCGGGGCCCCGGGCCGGGCCGCCACGGGGGCCGGCCGUUGGCGGU
RNAcentral lists this microRNA precursor (102 nucleotides) under Human alphaherpesvirus 1 (Herpes simplex virus type 1). Its description in RNAcentral is "microRNA hsv1-mir-H15 precursor". Its record names the gene hsv1-mir-H15. The record is from miRBase by way of RNAcentral. Lineage: Duplodnaviria; Heunggongvirae; Peploviricota; Herviviricetes; Herpesvirales; Orthoherpesviridae.